Molecule: ribosomal RNA, 942 nt
Filed under: Triticum aestivum (bread wheat)
Lineage: Eukaryota; Viridiplantae; Streptophyta; Magnoliopsida; Poales; Poaceae
Description: partial small subunit ribosomal RNA
Source: RNAcentral
AUGGUGGCAAGCUCAUUCGAAAAAAAAGCCAAGUCCUUCCCCAACAAGAACAACUUCACCAAAAAGACUCCUACUCGAGGGUUACUGGUCCAAGAAGAAUACCAUGAGGAUGACGAUGAUGACGAAGAUGGAGAAGCAAUGGCCAUGGCCUCCGUUGCCAUUGCCACAACUCCCCGGGUGUCUCUCUUCGAUUCACCCAACAAGAACAUCACCGCCAAGUGCCUCAUGGCUAAAGCCACUAACAAGGUAACCCCAAACAUCAAAACCACCAUCAUUACUAAUCCCUCCUUGAAGGAUUGCAUUGAUGAAAAUGAGGGUUCUAAUGAAGAGGCAAAUGAAUUUGAGUCUUUUAUGAGUAAACUCAAGGGCAAAUCCAAGAAGCACUUUGUUGCUCUCUUGGAACAAUUUGGUGAAGCCAAUGACAUGAUCGAGGCUCAUGAAGAAAUCAUCUCUAGGAUGGAAGGUCAUAGUCGUGACUAUGCCGAUGAGAUAUUGGAUCUCUCUAACACUCUUGAGGAAGAGCAUGGUCAUCGUUUGGCUCUUAAGGAGUCACACAACAAUGACCAUGCUAAAUUAAAGAAAGAUCUUGAUCAUGCUCUUGUUGUCUCUCGUGUGUUAAACUCCGAGAAGGCUAAACCUAGGGUUGACCUUGCUAGACUCAAAGAGGAGUUUGAUUUACUUGACAAGGCUCACAAGGCUUUGAAGGGUGCUCAUGCUAGCCUCAAGGAGUCUCAUGUUCAACUCCAAGUGAAGCUAACCAAGGAGAAAGCCACCUUUCCUCAUAUGGUCUUAAUUGAUAACGCAAAUGCUACUAACCCGUGUUGUGAGCAUGUGCAUCUUGUGGAGGAAAAUGCCCAGUUGAAAGAGCAACUGAAGAAAGGCAUUGUGACAUGCAUUCAAGGUGAGAAAAACCUCAAUGACCUUUUGAGCAAUCAAAAGUAA